GGGAAGGAAAAAGUGGUCGAAUAGCCAUCGAAAUCGUUCGACAACAUCCGAGAUUUUGGUUCUUCAGCUAUUGGACUCGGGAUUUUUGAAGUCGAAGUCGCCCACACUAUCAAAGCUCCUUUUGGUACACUUUUGGUUGAACUUUGAAAUGGCAUGUAUAGGACACCCCUUUUUUUUUGUUAUUAGUCAAGUACUUUGGUGUUGUAUAUAUUUGGAUAGCCAUGCGAAAAUGGCUUAUAUAUAUUUUGAGCAUAAUGUUAUAAUCAUCUUGAAUGUAUAUGUUCAUUAAGAGGCA
Gossypium arboreum is the source of this 295-nucleotide long non-coding RNA. RefSeq lists it as uncharacterized. NCBI's taxonomy places the organism in Eukaryota, Viridiplantae, Streptophyta, Magnoliopsida, Malvales, Malvaceae. The transcript has 2 exons. The record is from RefSeq and is a predicted model, not a curated record.